Molecule: ribosomal RNA, 103 nt
Filed under: uncultured bacterium
Lineage: Bacteria
Description: partial 16S ribosomal RNA
Source: RNAcentral
AAGAGCCUCGGGUUGUAAGCUCUUUGUUCGGGAAGAAACGGUUUGGGUGAAUAUCCCAGACUACUGACGGUACCGGAAGAAUAAGCACCGGCUAACUACGUGC